Molecule: small RNA, 73 nt
Filed under: unclassified sequences
Description: D12-methyl RNA
Source: Rfam by way of RNAcentral
CAUUGCAGGUUCGACCCCUGCCAGCCCAACCAAUGGGUGAGCCGGGCACAGGAUAAGCUCGGAGGGCGGGACG